CUGUCUAGUGUCUGUGUACAUAUCUGUGUCUGACACAAGGAAACUUUUUUGACAAGUUGUCUGUAUUCUUAAAUACUUAAAAAAUUAUCUUUUUCUAAACAGCCCUCAUCACUCCAGUCUGCCCCCCAGCCCACUGAUAGCAACCAUCAUAAUGCCACACCCAGCUUCUGGCACCUUUCGCCACUCCGGCACAAACCGACACAGCUUUGCGAUCUCGCCAGCAUGCAGUCUGAUGUCUUCCCUAUAGAUGGUAUGCUUUUAAAAAAGCUUUAAAGCUGCAUCACAAUGUCAUUGUACUCUUAUCUAAAAAAAAAACCCCAAUUUAUACUCCUGAAUGUCAUCUUGUUGUGAUUUUUUUUUUUUUUCCUGCAGAUUCCAGAGACUCUGUGAGGCCACUAUUACAAGGCAAGUUUGAAAAUCUUGGAAUUUCACAGUUUACAUGGUAUAACAAAUAUAUGUGACAGGCAAAAACUAGUAAACACUUUUAGCAGUUACAAGAACUAACAAAUGAAUAUCCAACAAAAGGGAAUAGAAAUACAUUGUACUGCCAAUACUUUGGUUUAUUCUUUGUAUGACUUGAAAAUCAGGCUUUAGGGAAAACUAAAUGACAUGUUUCUAUCAUCAAUUACAUGAAGUAAACACACAAGCACUUGCAUACACAUUUAAGACAUGAGACACGCUAAUUCCAUCUCAUAAAAUGUGUCUAUAGGUGAGACGCUUUGCGUUGAUUGGUGCUGCUGGACCACACUGGAGGUGCGAGUCCGCCGUGUAAUGGUUUAUGCCAUUACAAAGGAGCUGGCCUCUGUACUCAACUGGGCAGGGAAAAAAAAACCAAGGACCAGACAAAGCAAAAAAGGGCAUUUAAAGAGACAGCGCUGUGCAGAUGCAUAUUUGAUGGCCUGGCGCAGCAGGUAGGGGCGAACUCUAUGUCUGAGUUGGUCUUUGCUCAAGCAGUCCAGAAAUGGCUCAGAUAUGCUCCAGAUCGUACGGGUGGCGCGCAGGACGCACAUCAUCCAUCCCCAUCCCGGAGUAAAUAAUAAAAAGUGACGUGAAACAUAGAAAUGUAAAUAGGAAACUUUGUCUUUUAAUAAAGUAUUUUGCAAAUGAUACAUGUCUAUUGACCUUUUUUGUUUUUUUUCAAUAAAAAGCAACUGUGCGAAAGAGGUGGAAAAUCAAUACCAUAGCUCAACAGUGUUUCAAUAUCAGAAUCUGACAUUGUUUCAAUGUCAACAGUGUUAGAAAAUAUAACGUCGAAUCAAUGUCAGGUUUCAACAUUGAUUCAACAUCAAAACCUGACGUUGUUUCAACGUUAAAAAUGGGUGCAAGAGUGAUGUUGGGUCAACGUCACACUUCAACGUUGCUUCAAUGACGUCGCCUGAUAUUGACUCAACAUUGUUUCAAUGUUUCCUUGCUAUCUGGGGACUUUCUCUCCUCACUCUCCUAAACCUCCAAACUCUCUCCAAACUGUCUCCAAACUCUCACUAACCGCAACUCUCCAUCAAACACCCACAUUUUGAAUGAAGUCUGAGGGGUUUAUAUCGCUAUCAUAGCUCGCAGCAAAGUUCGAACCACUUCCUGAACCAGUCACGUGGUACAGCCGGGCAGCGAGGCUUCGGACGUCAUCAUUUUCAGCUCCUCCCAUAAAUGAAGCAAGCCUCGAUACGCGCAUCGCGGAAACGCCCCCUCCAUUACUCGAUACAAGCUUCGAAGCCUCGAUACAGAACGUCCCAUCACUAGUUGUGGUCACUUUUUAUCAUGAAAGGCAAAGGAAACUAAGUGCAGAGCAGCAUCUGCUAAAGGCAGUAGAUUCCAUGUUGGUUGGGUGGAGAGAGAUCAUGAAGGACGCCCGCUGUUAAAAAGAAGCAGAAGAG
This 1871-nucleotide long non-coding RNA is filed under the name Oreochromis niloticus (Nile tilapia). RNAcentral describes it as "lncRNA (ENSONIG00000027426.1)". Lineage: Eukaryota; Metazoa; Chordata; Actinopteri; Cichliformes; Cichlidae. The record is from RNAcentral.